CCUACGGGAGGCAGCAGUGAGGAAUAUUGGACAAUGGGCGCAAGCCUGAUCCAGCCAUGCCGCGUGCAGGAAGACGCAUCUAUGGUGUGUAAACUGCUUUUGUACGGGAAGAAACACUCCUACGUGUAGGAGCUUGACGGUACCGUAAGAAUAAGGAUCGGCUAACUCCGUGCCAGCAGCCGCGGUAAUACGGAGGAUCCAAGCGUUAUCCGGAAUCAUUGGGUUUAAAGGGUCCGUAGGCGGUUUGAUAAGUCAGUGGUGAAAGCCCAUCGCUCAACGAUGGAACGGCCAUUGAUACUGUCAGACUUGAAUUAUUAGGAAGUAACUAGAAUAUGUAGUGUAGCGGUGAAAUGCUUAGAUAUUACAUGGAAUACCAAUUGCGAAGGCAGGUUACUACUAAUGGAUUGACGCUGAUGGACGAAAGCGUGGGGAGCGAACAGGAUUAGAUACCCUGGUAGUCCACGCCGUAAACGAUGGAUACUAGCUGUUCGGAGCAAUCUGAGUGGCUAAGCGAAAGUGAUAAGUAUCCCACCUGGGGAGUACGUUCGCAGAAUGAAACUCAAAGGAAUUGACGG
Molecule: ribosomal RNA, 575 nt
Filed under: uncultured bacterium
Lineage: Bacteria
Description: bacterial SSU rRNA
Rfam family: Bacterial small subunit ribosomal RNA
Source: RNAcentral